Molecule: non-coding RNA, 527 nt
Organism: Cricetulus griseus (Chinese hamster)
Lineage: Eukaryota; Metazoa; Chordata; Mammalia; Rodentia; Cricetidae
Source: RefSeq, a predicted model, not a curated record
CUCCUCCGCUCCUCCCACCCGGCUUCGGAGUGGUGCCCGCGCCUGCCUAGGAGCGCAGGCACUCGCAGUUGAUGAUGAGCCAUUGGACACUUGGGAGGCUGAGGCAAGAGGAUCAGGAGUUCAAGAACAUCCUUGGCUACACAGCAAGUCCUAGGCCAGCCUAGGCUAUUUAAGAGCCCAUCUCAGAGUGUAGGUGGGACAGAGACAUAUCAGUUCCAGCCUGUGUUCAUUCCUUUUUCUCUAAACAGAGGAACUUCCUGAAUGGAGCUUCAUAGUGGAAGUCACCUAAGUGGACCCUUUGAAGUCACCAAUACUUACUAUCAUUCCUAUAGAAUUCUAAGUUCAUCUUAAACCUACCUUCCUGCAUCCCUGAACAAGAAGGAGCAAGUAAUUGUUGAAGAGAUGGAAAAGAAGAGGAGGAGAACAGAGUUGCUUUACAGGCUUUGUAGCCAGUCAGCAGAAUGCUUGCCUUACAUUCAUGAAACUCUGGGUUUGAUCCUCAGCACAGAAAAAAAAAAAAAAAAAAA